This 393-nucleotide long non-coding RNA is filed under the name Bos taurus (domestic cattle). RNAcentral describes it as "long non-coding RNA NONBTAT012574". The record is from RNAcentral. Lineage: Eukaryota; Metazoa; Chordata; Mammalia; Artiodactyla; Bovidae.
AUGAAAUAAAAUGAGCUAAAUAUCUGUACAUCAACUUCUCAGCAAUGAUUUAUUUUCCUAAUAAAAAGUAUUCUCUAUUUUGAACAAAUAUGAUAUAAAUAAUAUAAAGUAGAGAAAAUGGGCAAGCAAGAAAAAAAGGUCAACAUAUGAUAUAUAGGAAAUUAUUUGGGUAUCAUAGGUCUAAGAAUCUGAGGACUAGAAGUUCAUUUCAAUCUACCUUGGUCCAAGAACCCCAGGGGUAAAACAAAAACUUAUUAUUGCCAGAAAAUGAAAUUGGCUGCACUAUUUCAUUUUGUGAGAAUUUUAUGACCUGGCAUGCUAUCCCGAUGAUCAAGACUAUAGUUUUGGUUGUUUUUUAAAACUUCAGAGAAAUAUAAUUAUGCAUUCUUUUUA